GCAGUCACGAACUCGCCAGCAGCUAGCAGCACUGACUAGUAGGAGGGCCCGCCGGAGGAGAGGACAUGCUCUGGAGUCAGAAGACAGCGAAAAGAGAAGCAGAAGCCCCGGUGGCAAGAGUCUGAAGCUGGAAAGGAGGAGAACAUGAAACAUUGCUUGAAGACAAUGGCCGAGACAGCAGGUCCCACCCUGCACAGCCACCAGCAUCUCUCCCCUCAGCCCUGUCUCCUCUUCUGCAGUUGGGAUCUGCACAUUUAAGCCUGAAAUUGUCCUGUGAAGUGAAGUAUGAUCGGACAGCCUCUUUUCAGCUUUUAUGACAAUGGAGACAGAGGAAUUGUGGCUCUUGCCAAGGUCACAGGAUUGGAAUACAGAGCCAAGCCACCCCAGGACAUGCAAGAGCCUCAGAAGGGAAAAAAGCCCAGCAGGAAGGGAGAACAAGUAGCCUCUGUCCUGAAGUUGUAACAGCCAGGGGCCAGGAUGGAGGAGGAGGACCCCAUAAUCUGCCCAUCUGGGACUUGGCAGGGGACCUGGGAAAAUGUACCCCAACCCAUCCCUUAAGGGCCUUUGUCUUUGGCCCAUUGGCCUAGCAUCUACUUCUUCACCGUGUCUGUUCUUGUCACACCUAGUCAGGUCUGUUUGGGUCUGAGGUGCAUGGAACAUUCUGGGUAGGCCUCCAGCAAACGGAAGCUCUUCACCGUGUUUCCAGCCUGGGACCAAGGGCAGCAUACUGGCAAAGUUGCCAAAGCAAGGGACUCCAGCCUCUUAGGAGUUAAUGACUCCCUCUCCCCAGCUGUCCUCCCCUUGGUGCUCCUCUUCCUCCCUCCUCCUGCUCACAGCAGGCAGGGCCUAGACCCGGGAGCCAUGCUGCUGUGCUGUUGCCAGGGGAGCACGGAGGCAGAUCUGAGCUAUGCAGGGAAAAGGCCCAGCCUGUCAAAGUGUCUGAGAUGAACCGCCGCCGUCCCUGUGCAGCUGGGCUCAGACGUGUCUCAGCUCUUGUUCUGUGCCUGAGAAUGGCGAAACCCAGUGAGGUUCAAGGGCAAACUCGCUAUUCAUUAGUCAGGGGUUCUUGACGUCCCGUCUCUCCCAGGGAUGAGUUCCCCCCUCCUCUUUCUCCCCCUCCUAUGACACAUUCCUGGGUGCCUUUGGUGAGGACUGCACACCCUCCUCCUGCCUAGCCCCCUCUCCAAAGGCCCCUGAAUAAACUCCCCCCAAGGAGACCAGGCAGGGCAGAGACAAUGGCUGCAGGAAAUCAUUCAGGCGGGACAUGCUGGCCUGCCCUCCACCCAGUCCCCCUGUGGGCCCCACUCCCUUCUGAUUCAGGGCACCCUUGGGCCCCCAGCCUAUACAGGCCUGGACAGGAAGAAACCACUGGGAACCACCCUAAGGACAACAUGCUAGUCCAGUGCCAUUCUUCGCUGGCUCUGUGGGUGCCUUUGUGGCCUGUACCGACUGGCUGGCUAAUUUUGUGGUUUCUGUACCAUCACAUGCCUAUUUUAAGACACUCUCCAGCACUGUCGGUUAGGGAGUGUAAAUUUUGCAAUAUUUUCUGAAAUGUGGCAAUAUCAAAAUGUAAAAGGCACACAUACUUGGUCACAAACAAAUGGCACUAUUUACUCUGUGGGCAUAUUUGUAAAAGUUGCCAAAGAAUUAUAUACAAGGAUGUUCAUCAGAGCAUUUCUUUUGAAGAGUAAAGAAAUGGACAUGAACCUGUGGUCCGUUCAUACGGUGGAAUACCUAUGCAGCUGUAAAAAUCAGUGUGGUAGAUCUCCGUAUAUGAGUUGAUGUGGAAGGUUGGCCAGUUCACAUGAUAAGGUGAAUAGAAUAAGUUACAGAACAGGCUGUAGAGUAUGAUCUUAUUUGUAGAUGUUUAAAACUGAGUCAUAAGUAUGCUUAUAUACAGAUCGUUUCUGGAAGUAUGUACUGGAAGUCUACCUCUGGGGAGUGGGGAUGGGGGAGUGCACUCUUCUAUACUGUUAUAUUUUCUUUUCAUGCUCCUAAGGUACUUUUAUUGGAAGAUGUAAAGCGGUUCAAUGUAAUAGGCUUAACUUCUGUCAACUAAGUUGGCGUGGGUGCUUUAAGAGGGUGGUAGUGAUGUUGCUGGAGAAAGUAUCCCACAGUCACUGGUGGCUUCAGCCACGGGCCAUUUUGGGGCCUAAUAAUCACAUAUCAUCAUGGUUGCUAGUGUUAAUCGAAAACCUACUAAGUGCCAGGCUUACUGUCUCUGGGUCUUGCUUACGUGGAUGUCAUUUUUCCAGUUGCACCAAAUCGAAAGAGGUUAAUUGGUUUGUUGGAGUUCCUUUGUAGGUGAAGGGCAGAGCCAGGAGCUUGGCUAGGGACAGGGGAGGUGAGUGGGGGAUGGUGGAUAGGUCUUGGCUCCCAGUUUCCUUCUGGGCAGACAUUGCCCCUCUGCCCUGAGGACCUGCUUGUUUGGGGGAAGAGGCCUUUAGAGGCACCAGGGUCAUGCCAGGUGUUGGACAUGGUGAACUGGGAAGUGCUCCCAUCUGGCCACAGCGCAGAAGUAUCACCGUGCUGGGGGAUGGGGAACAGGGCUGUGAAUGGGCCUAUUUGCAUAAGCAGCAUGUGUCUGGAGAGAAAGACAUCACAGAGCAGAAGAGUGCGGGUGCCCAGGAGUGCACUUGCCACCCCUACUUCAUCCCUGAAAGAGUAAAUGGCCUGGAAGGUGUCUCUGAGAGGUAAUGCCGCACACCACCCUCCCUGGGGGCAGGGUCAGGCUACACCUGCCUUAGGUCGGGGGCUGCAGCAGCCUGAGAGCUCUCAGUAGGGCCUCAGUAGCCUGGGAGGGAGCAGGGGCAGGGGGCAGGGAAAGAGGCGUAAUGGGGCUGUCCAGAGGGGCCUGGGAAACCUGGUCCCUGAGGCCUGGGCACAGCUACAAUCACUUCAAAUUGGCUGUGGGGCCAGUGGACUGGGAAGGAAAAAAGCAAUAAGAGUGACCAAGUGCAGAAGGCUGUCAGGUCCCAGGUCACAUGCCUUAGUGCAGUGACUCCUCAUCAUUUUAUGGGGUGUGGGUGUCGUUGGUACACCCAUUUUACAGAUGAGGACACCGAGGCCCAGAAAAGUUAAGUUACAUGUCCUAAGUCACACAGCUUGUAAGUGCCAGAACUGAGAUCAAAACCAAGUCUCUUUGACUUUAAAGUCUGUACUCUGACCCCAAAGAGAUCCUGUUUGGCCACUUAUAGGAGGUCCCUAAAGCUGCAGACUCCCCUUGCCGGCACCCACAUAUAGAGACAUUAACCCUUCCCCUGCAGGGUCACCUCAAAUAGUCUUUUAGCUGGGCUUCUCCUGCAAUUCCACCUAAUGCCAUCCCCUGGGUUUUGCCCAAACCUGAACUGGGCAGUGGGGUGAGAGGAGGGGUUUACAGGGUUACAGAGCCUCAUACAGAUAGGAGCCCAUGGCUGCUGGUCAUCUGCAUUCCUGCAGGAUUGGCUGUUCCUUGGGGUCCUUGGCAGGAAAAUGAGGAUUGCUCCGAGGCCUGCUCCAGUACUUCCCAGAGGCUGGCCUGGUGUGGGGCUCUGGGAAGGCUGAGGCUGGAGAAGCGUAAGUAGGAGGGCAGAGAUGGCACUCAGGUAGCUUGAAUCACCAGGACCCUUCCAAGCCCCACAGGUUCUGAGGGAGUACUAGGGCCAGCUCUGGGAGAGGUCUCUUCCUAUGCUGUGAACCCCCUGCCUUUCUUGCAGCCUACAACGAAUAAAUUUUCUUUGCAAAGG
This 3725-nucleotide long non-coding RNA is filed under the name Homo sapiens (human). Its description in RNAcentral is "lnc-FANCI-2 transcript variant f-PA2". Lineage: Eukaryota; Metazoa; Chordata; Mammalia; Primates; Hominidae. The record is from RNAcentral.